ACUGCGGAGGGAUCAUUAAAGAGUUAAUAAAACUCCCAACCCUAUGUGAACCUACCUAUGUUGCCUCGGCGGAUUUACCCUGUAGCAAACUUGGUUUACCCUGUAGUUACCCUGUAGAUCCGCCGGUGGACAAACCAAACUCUGUUAGCAAAAUGGCUUCUGAGCGUCUUAUUUAAUAAGUCAAAACUUUCAACAACGGAUCUCUUGGUUCUGGCAUCGAUGAAGAACGCAGCGAAAUGCGAUAAGUAAUGUGAAUUGCAGAAUUCAGUGAAUCAUCGAAUCUUUGAACGCACAUUGCGCCCAUUAGUACUCUAGUGGGCAUGCCUGUUCGAGCGUCAUUUCAACCCCUAAGCCUAGCUUAGUGUUGGGAGACUACUGUAGCGGUGCUACGUGGGAGCCACCCUGUAAGACGGGUCGGUUUACCCUGUAGCCACCCCGUAGCUCCUCAAAGUCAGUGGCGGAGACGCAGAUUCCUCUGAGCGUAGUAAAUUUUUCUCGCUUUUGUAGGUUCUGUCCCUUUUGCCGUUAAACCCCCAAUUCUUUAAUGGUUGACCUCGGAUCAGGUAGGAAUACCCGCUGAACUUAAGCAUAUCA
RNAcentral lists this ribosomal RNA (594 nucleotides) under fungal endophyte sp. ICMP 16120. RNAcentral's name for it is "eukaryotic LSU rRNA". The stretch from base 185 to 338 matches the Rfam family "5.8S ribosomal RNA". Lineage: Eukaryota; Fungi. The record is from RNAcentral.